CCUACGGGGCGCAGCAGUAGGGAAUUUUCGUCAAUGGGCGCAAGCCUGAACGAGCAAUGCCGCGUGAACGAGGAAGGUCUUCGGAUCGUAAAGUUCUGUUGAAGGGGAAAAAGAGCGGAGAGAGGAAAUGGUCUCCGAUUGAUAUUACCCUUCGAGGAAGUCACGGCUAACUACGUGCCAGCAGCCGCGGUAAUACGGAGGAUGCGAGCGUUAUCCGGAUUUACUGGGUGUAAAGGGAGCGUAGGCGGCCUGGCAAGCCUGAUGUGAAAUACCGGGGCCCAACCCCGGGGCUGCAUUGGGAACUG
RNAcentral lists this ribosomal RNA (305 nucleotides) under uncultured bacterium. RNAcentral's name for it is "bacterial SSU rRNA". It matches the Rfam family "Bacterial small subunit ribosomal RNA", at positions 338 to 635 of the family's 1533-position model. The record is from RNAcentral.